GCUGAAACUCGCCUACAUGAAGCUGGAAUUGCUAGUAAUCACAGGUCAGCAUACUGUGGUGAAUACGUUCCCGGGCCUUGUACACACCGCCGUCACACCAUGAGAGUUGAGAAUACCCGAAGCCCAUGUCAAAGUGGUCGAAGGUAGGCUUGAUGAUUGGGGUGAAGUCGUAACAAGGUAAC
RNAcentral lists this ribosomal RNA (182 nucleotides) under uncultured bacterium. Its description in RNAcentral is "partial 16S ribosomal RNA". It matches the Rfam family "Bacterial small subunit ribosomal RNA", at positions 1304 to 1500 of the family's 1533-position model. The record is from RNAcentral.